This is a long non-coding RNA of Megalobrama amblycephala (Wuchang bream), 2349 nucleotides long. RefSeq lists it as uncharacterized. The transcript is spliced from 2 exons. NCBI's taxonomy places the organism in Eukaryota, Metazoa, Chordata, Actinopteri, Cypriniformes, Xenocyprididae. The record is from RefSeq and is a predicted model, not a curated record.
ACGUAUCCUGACUACGUUGGUCCAAAGUGCAAAACGUAGAGGGGUUACAAUAAUGGCCCUUAAAUUGUAUGACUGUUACAAUUUUUUUUGCCUAUUGUUUUGCGUCCAAGUCACGUGACUUUAGAGAGCCCGGCCGUGAGAACAAAAAACAUGGCGGACGUUUCUCUACUUUUUAGUGAAAAAACAAUAUUUUGAGUUAGUUUCUGCAUAAAAAUAAGGUUUAAUUACAUUUUUAGCGAGAAAUAUAUAUUCUAUUUUCAUAAUAUUCACUCAGUGAAUGUACAUAAUCACUCGCUUGCGCGUUGUUGCAAAGAUUUUUCUGAUCUCGCCAGAAUAAUGUGAAACUGCUACGUUUUGGUUGCUAUGAACAAUAUUUUAUUUUCUGCAUCAAAAUAAGGUUUGAUUACAUUUUAAGCAAAAAAUAAAUAUUUUAUUUUCAUAAUAUUCAUUCAGUGAAUGUACAUAAUCACUCGCUUGCGCGUUGUUGCAAAGAUUUUUCGGAUCUCGCCGGAAUAAUGUGAAACUGCUACGUUUUGGUUGCUAUGAACAAUAUUUUAUUUUCUGCAUCAAAAUAAGGUUUGAUUACAUUUUAAGCAAAAAAUAAAUAUUUUAUUUUCAUAAUAUUCACUCAGUGAAUGUACAUAAUCACUCGCUUGCGCGUUGUUGCAAAGAUUUUUCUGAUCUCGCCAGAAUAAUGUGAAACUGCUACGUUUUGUUUGCUAUGAACAAUAUUUUGAGUUAGUUUCUUCAUAAAAAUAAGGUUUGAUUACAUUUUUAGCGAGAAAUAUAUAUUCUAUUUUCAUAAUAUUAGCGUCAAAAACUGACGCGAAUUUUAUUGGUAUGAAAUCACGCUGAAGAAGUCUCCUUCAGAACACAUCGCGAUAUUUGGCAUCAGUUCGCGUGUGCUGGAUGUUGGUAAGUAGUCGUAAAUACGCUGUUCUAAUGUUUGAUAUAAUGUCUUUUCUGUUUGCAGAUAUUAAUCAGAUUAACGUUAGCUCCCUCAUGUUCAGUCACUGCAUUAUAUCUGUCACCUCCGCUGAGGUUUUGCUUUUCAUUGUUUUCUAUAUUAAAUACUAAACUAGGGUGAUUAAACACUGUCACGUGACGUGCAAUAUAUUGCACAAUAUAAUAUAACAUAUUCAUAUCAGGUUCAAAGUAGUACAAGUGUAGUUUCAAAAUGGUAUUUGUUGUAGAAGCACGGUAAAAAAAAACAACACUUACCAUGCUUUUUACCACAGUAUUGGUAGUUUUAAUGUGAUUUUUGUUGUAAAUACAGAGUAACCACAACACUUAUCAUGCUUUUAAUGCCUAAUAAUGUUAAAUCCAAAAACUGUAAGGUCAAUAAGAACUUCUUUCCUAUAUAUAUUUAGGCUAUAUAUAAACCUAUAUAUUAUAAAUAAUGAUAUUUUCUUUUCUCUUGUUUUAGCUGAAAAGACAAAAAGGGCCUUUCGGAAAUGGAUGAAGGAGACAGAAAGCUGCAAAGGCAAAUAAUUGCAAUGAAGGAAAUCCUACGGUUAUGUAUGAACUCACAACAUCAUCAUCAAGUGCUGUGCUGGGCACAUUGGGUAACAAGUGUCCUCCAACGUAUCCAAUCUGUGGCCACGUUCUCCACAUCUUCCCAUGGGACACCGACAUUCUUCAGGCCUUCGUUUCCAUGUCUUCCCCUGCAUUCUCCUGGUGGUGUCCACUUCAUCUCUGUCUUUGGGUGUUGUUGUUUGGUCAUGCUUAGGAUGUGUCCGGGGAGGUGCACCCUUCACUCUGUCACAGUUUUUAAAAGUCUUCACGUGGACUCCUCCUUAUGAUCUCCUUGAAACGUGCAGAACCAAUAUUGAAAAUAGUCAUUUAUCUUUUUCCAUAUUCUUGCCUUUAUCAAAGAAGCACCAGUGCUCAUCCGGAGUUUUGGUAAAAGACAUAUUCAUUGCCAUCCACUAGUUCUAGUAAUGCUGCGACUAUAGUCAAAUAUGUAUUUCUGCAUGUGUGUAUAGCAGGUGUUUGUCCGAACAAUUGAAGUUAGUGAGAGUGUUCAGGAAAACCCUCUGAGAACAAUCAAUAUUUAUUUAAUUCUGUUUGGUGCUGAUAUAGAGUAUUACAGAAAUGACACAUUGACAUUCUGGACAUUAUUCUGUGAGUUUGUUACCUCUACAUUUAGAUGGACUUGAAAAUGUCUUGCAUUUUGUUUCAUUAAACCUUUUAUUACAGUGUCACUAUAGUAAAUGUCCACCUUAACUACAUCUAUGGUAUCAUUAUAUCAGUACCUGGAUAAUGUAAAUGUAACAUACCCAUGAAUGUAUUUUAUAGAAGCAUUUUAUUGCUGAAAAUAUUUAACAUUUAUAAAAUGCAUUAACUAUU